RNAcentral lists this unclassified non-coding RNA (246 nucleotides) under uncultured Hyphomonadaceae bacterium. Its description in RNAcentral is "contains 16S-23S intergenic spacer region". It matches the Rfam family "Bacterial small subunit ribosomal RNA", at positions 957 to 1198 of the family's 1533-position model. The record is from RNAcentral. Lineage: Bacteria; Pseudomonadati; Pseudomonadota; Alphaproteobacteria; Hyphomonadales; Hyphomonadaceae.
CAACGCGCAGAACCUUACCCACGUUUGACAUGUCUAGUUUGGUCGGCAGAGAUGCCUUCCUUCAGUUCGGCUGGCUAGAACACAGGUGCUGCAUGGCUGUCGUCAGCUCGUGUCGUGAGAUGUUGGGUUAAGUCCCGCAACGAGCGCAACCCUCGCUACUAGUUGCCAUCAGGUUAAGCUGGGCACUCUAGUGGAACUGCCGGUGGCAAGCCGGAGGAAGGUGGGGAUGACGUCAGCCUAUCGAGA